GUUGGGAAACCUGCAAGGCACCAGCAUGGUCCCACCAAGGUGGAUCCUGUAGGAGGAGUCAGGGCUAACACCUGCAACAGAUGUGACUAGGAUGAAGACUUUGAUGCCUGACGUGAUAAGGGUGUACUGGCUGGUUUUAUGGGUCAACUUGACAGAAGUUAGAGUCAUCAGAGAGGAAGACUCAGUUGAGAAGAUGCCUCCAUGAGUUCCAACUGUAAGGCAUUUUCUCAAUUAGUGAACAACGGGGGAGUGUCCAUCCCAUGCUGAGAUGAAGAUACAUAAUUUGGCCAAGGAAAACACAGCUAGCUGAUGGCAGAGGAGGGCUGCUGGUCCAGUCACUUGCUUUACAUUGAAGAACUUUUCCACAAUAAAUCUGAAUGCAAGAGGAUGCUCUCAUUCAACUCUAAUCUACUGCCUAAACUACAGAAACAUACUCAGCUGUGCUGCAGAGCUGGGAGAGUCAAUCCAUCCAC
This 473-nucleotide long non-coding RNA is filed under the name Mus musculus (house mouse). RNAcentral describes it as "predicted gene, 48370". Lineage: Eukaryota; Metazoa; Chordata; Mammalia; Rodentia; Muridae. The record is from RNAcentral.